Molecule: ribosomal RNA, 479 nt
Filed under: Escherichia coli
Lineage: Bacteria; Pseudomonadati; Pseudomonadota; Gammaproteobacteria; Enterobacterales; Enterobacteriaceae
Description: bacterial SSU rRNA
Rfam family: Bacterial small subunit ribosomal RNA
Source: RNAcentral
AUUGAACGCUGGCGGCAGGCCUAACACAUGCAAGUCGAACGGUAACAGGAAGCAGCUUGCUGCUUUGCUGACGAGUGGCGGACGGGUGAGUAAUGUCUGGGAAACUGCCUGAUGGAGGGGGAUAACUACUGGAAACGGUAGCUAAUACCGCAUAACGUCGCAAGACCAAAGAGGGGGACCUUCGGGCCUCUUGCCAUCGGAUGUGCCCAGAUGGGAUUAGCUAGUAGGUGGGGUAACGGCUCACCUAGGCGACGAUCCCUAGCUGGUCUGAGAGGAUGACCAGCCACACUGGAACUGAGACACGGUCCAGACUCCUACGGGAGGCAGCAGUGGGGAAUAUUGCACAAUGGGCGCAAGCCUGAUGCAGCCAUGCCGCGUGUAUGAAGAAGGCCUUCGGGUUGUAAAGUACUUUCAGCGGGGAGGAAGGGAGUAAAGUUAAUACCUUUGCUCAUUGACGUACCCACAGAAGAGCACCGGUA